CGAAAGCCUGACGGAGCAACGCCGCGUGAGGGAUGAAGGCCUCUGGGCUGUAAACCUCUUUUAUCAAGGAAGAAGAUCUGACGGUACUUGAUGAAUAAGCCACGGCUAAUUCCGUGCCAGCAGCCGCGGUAAUACGGGAGUGGCAAGCGUUUAUCGGAAUUAUUGGGCGUAAAGCGUCCGCAGGCGGUUUUGUAAGUCUGUCGUUAAAGCGUGGAGCUUAACUCCAUUUAAGCGAUGGAAACUGCAAGACUAGAGUGUGGUAGGGGCAGAGGGAAUUCCCGGUGUAGCGGUGAAAUGCGUAGAUAUCGGGAAGAACACCAGUGGCGAAGGCGCUCUGCUGGGCCAUAACUGACGCUCAUGGACGAAAGCCAGGGGAGCG
RNAcentral lists this ribosomal RNA (379 nucleotides) under uncultured cyanobacterium. Its description in RNAcentral is "bacterial SSU rRNA". It matches the Rfam family "Bacterial small subunit ribosomal RNA", at positions 376 to 770 of the family's 1533-position model. The record is from RNAcentral. Lineage: Bacteria; Bacillati; Cyanobacteriota.